GGGAUGAGUAAAUGCUGGAUGACAAUUAUGUGUGUAGAUCCCCUUUCCAGAUUGAUCAGAGUGAAUCAGUAGUCUCUCCAGGGACAGGGCUCAGUCUGAACCCAGGCUCAGCUGGCCUCUCUGGGCUGCCUCUCUCAAGCAGGGGUCCUCAUGUGCUGAAGUCUGUUCUCAUCAGCCUCUCACAAACUGAAGGAUUCAGAGAAACCUGCAAGUCCUCGGAGGAAGACUUGGGAAGCUCUGCCUGUGAGAGAGUUUUUCGCUGUGUAUCGGACAUUAGGGUUUCUGGAAACUUUCUGUGCAAACGUCUAAGUGUUGUCACACAAUUGUUCAGGCGAGGCGUCUCAGAGACACACAUUUGUUCCUGUCUGUGCCUCAAGGUGCGAUUAUGUGGACUGUGGGGAUCUGAAAGACAUUUCUUCAAAAGCGCUGUGACACUGCUUCUGCUUUGGGUCAGUGCAUCAAGCCACUCGGGCCGCCCAAAGCGCCAGACUCCGCCGCACAGGAAAAUAUAG
This 512-nucleotide long non-coding RNA is filed under the name Carassius auratus (goldfish). Its description in RNAcentral is "lncRNA (ENSCARG00000008228.1)". Lineage: Eukaryota; Metazoa; Chordata; Actinopteri; Cypriniformes; Cyprinidae. The record is from RNAcentral.